Molecule: non-coding RNA, 76 nt
Organism: Podarcis lilfordi (Lilford's wall lizard)
Lineage: Eukaryota; Metazoa; Chordata; Lepidosauria; Squamata; Lacertidae
Source: the annotation of a GenBank genome assembly
GCCUAGCUCAGUUGGUUAGAACGUGGAGUUGAUAACGCCAAGGUUGCAGGUUCAAUCCCCGUAUGGGACAGCUGCA